AUUGAACGCUGGCGGCAGGCCUAACACAUGCAAGUCGAAUGGUAACAGGAAACAGCUUGCUGUUUCGCUGACGAGUGGCGGACGUGUGAGUAAUGUCUGUGAAACUGCCUGAUGGAGGGGGAUAACUACUGGAAACGGUAGCUAAUACCGCAUAACGUCGCAAGACCAAAGAGGGGGACCUUCGGGCCUCUUGCCAUCAGAUGUGCCCAGAUGGGAUUAGCUAGUAGGUGGGGUAACGGCUCACCUAGGCGACGAUCCCUAGCUGGUCUGAGAGGAUGACCAGCCACACUGGAACUGAGACACGGUCCAGACUCCUACGGGAGGCAGCAGUGGGGAAUAUUGCACAAUGGGCGCAAGCCUGAUGCAGCCAUGCCGCGUGUAUGAAGAAGGCCUUCGGGUUGUAAAGUACUUUCAGCGGGGAGGAAGGGAGUAAAGUUAAUACCUUUGCUCAUUGACGUUACCCGCAGAAGAAGCACCGGCUAACUCCGUG
Molecule: ribosomal RNA, 490 nt
Filed under: uncultured bacterium
Lineage: Bacteria
Description: partial 16S ribosomal RNA
Rfam family: Bacterial small subunit ribosomal RNA
Source: RNAcentral